GAUGAACGCUGGCGGCGUGCCUAACACAUGCAAGUCGAACGAUGAAGCCCAGCUUGCUGGGUGGAUUAGUGGCGAACGGGUGAGUAACACGUGAGUAACCUGCCCUUAACUCUGGGAUAAGCCUGGGAAACUGGGUCUAAUACCGGAUAGGAGCGCCUACCGCAUGGUGGGUGUUGGAAAGAUUUAUCGGUUUUGGAUGGACUCGCGGCCUAUCAGCUUGUUGGUGAGGUAAUGGCUCACCAAGGCGACGACGGGUAGCCGGCCUGAGAGGGUGACCGGCCACAAUGGGACUGAGAGACGGCCCAGACUCCUACGGGAGGCAGCAGUGGGGAAUAUUGCACAAUGGGCGAAAGCCUGAUGCAGCGACGCCGCGUGAGGGAUGACGGCCUUCGGGUUGUAAACCUCUUUCAGUAGGGAAGAAGCGAAAGUGACGGUACCUGCAGAAGAAGCACCGGCUAACUACGUG
RNAcentral lists this ribosomal RNA (466 nucleotides) under uncultured bacterium. Its description in RNAcentral is "partial 16S ribosomal RNA". It matches the Rfam family "Bacterial small subunit ribosomal RNA", at positions 28 to 507 of the family's 1533-position model. The record is from RNAcentral.